CCGGGUCUGGCCUCCGAUGCCCGCCCAGCCCCGCUGCCCAGACCACCCAGUGAGGACCCCUGGGCCUGCGAGCCAGGGUGGCCUGUGAUGAGCCCCGGGAACAGCAGUUCAUUCCACACAAGGGAAGGGCAGCCUCAGUGGGGACCGGCCUCCUGCACAGAUGGCUCUUGGAGGAGUUGCACUGAACCGAAAAAGCCACCCGGUGCACCGCAGGGGAGAGACCUGGUUGCAGAAGCUUCUCAGUCCCGACCCUGCGCAGGUCACCUCGCGCUCAGGACGUCCCUCGAGGGCCCGAGGACCCCUGGCCAGGCUUGUGCCCUAGGAAUGAAAACUGCAGUGUGCCAGAGCUUCCUGCUGUUGGGGAUGUGCUAUGGGAAGCGACCCAGUUACCCUGUGGCAGCUCAGCCCAGCGUGGGGCCGCUCAGUGGCUGGACCUGUGUCGCCCUAGCUGUGAGAGGGGCCAGGCAGGUUCUCCAGGGACCUGGCAGCCUCUGUGCGUCUCCAGCCCCCUCAGGCUGUGGCCUGGGUGUGUGCAGAGGCAACGUGCCUACUUCUGGAGCCUCCACGUGACUGUCAUGCCUGUUCCCUCCUGGGAGGGGACACUGUAACACAGGCUGCUCAGGCUGGGCAGGCAAACCACUGGCUCUGUUUAGCUUUCCCUCAGCCUGGGCCUUCAUCAUCUCUACCCAGGCACUGACCUCUCCCUUCUGUAUUUUCCUUUUGUGGUGCUGGGGAGUGAUUCCAGGGCCUUCACAGUGAGCUGCAUCCCCAGCCCUUUUUAAAAUUUUUUGAGCACUUAGGAGGCUGAGGCAGGAGGCUUCCUGUGAGUUCAAGGCCAGCCUGGACUACAUAAUGAGACUCUCAAAAAAUCAAAAAUAAAUAAAAAUAAAAAUUUUAAAUUUUGAGACAGGGUCUUAUUAAAUUGCCUAAGGUGGGUUCAGACUUCCAGUCUCUUGCCUCAGACUCCUAGAGUUCUAGAAUUACAGGCAUGUGCCACCAUUUUUUUUUUGGCACUGGGGAUCAAACUCAGGACUUGUGCUUUUGAGGAAGGCAGGGUGCCACUGAGCUAAAUCCCGGCCCAGCAUCAUCUUUAGCUAAAGGUUUAUACUUCCACAGCAUCCUCACCUAUAUAGCCAGUGCCUCCGCGAGGCUAGAGACAGACCAUAUAAGCAGGGGAAUGAGGCAGGGCAGGAUUGGACAAGCCCCUGAAAUUAGGAGCACAAAACCUGUGAGGGUUUUGAAUCCUCCAAAGGUUGAAAACCAUCCUGCAGACAAU
Molecule: long non-coding RNA, 1276 nt
Filed under: Heterocephalus glaber (naked mole-rat)
Lineage: Eukaryota; Metazoa; Chordata; Mammalia; Rodentia; Bathyergidae
Description: lncRNA (ENSHGLG00100047483.1)
Source: RNAcentral